Molecule: non-coding RNA, 25 nt
Filed under: Cricetulus griseus (Chinese hamster)
Lineage: Eukaryota; Metazoa; Chordata; Mammalia; Rodentia; Cricetidae
Source: RNAcentral
GUUGGCUACUUGUGUUUUUAGGAGA